This 468-nucleotide ribosomal RNA is filed under the name uncultured bacterium. RNAcentral describes it as "partial 16S ribosomal RNA". It matches the Rfam family "Bacterial small subunit ribosomal RNA", at positions 28 to 507 of the family's 1533-position model. The record is from RNAcentral.
GACGAACGCUGGCGGCGUGCUUAACACAUGCAAGUCGAACGGAAAGGCCCUGCUUUUGUGGGGUGCUCGAGUGGCGAACGGGUGAGUAACACGUGAGUAACCUGCCCUUGACUUUGGGAUAACUUCAGGAAACUGGGGCUAAUACCGGAUAGGAGCUCCUGCUGCAUGGUGGGGGUUGGAAAGUUUCGGCGGUUGGGGAUGGACUCGCGGCUUAUCAGCUUGUUGGUGGGGUAGUGGCUUACCAAGGCUUUGACGGGUAGCCGGCCUGAGAGGGUGACCGGACACAUUGGGACUGAGAUAAGGCCCAGACUCCUACGGGAGGCAGCAGUGGGGAAUAUUGCACAAUGGGAGGAAGCCUGAUGCAGCAAAGCCGCGUGCGGGAUGACGGCCUUCGGGUUGUAAACCGCUUUCGCCUGUGACGAAGCGUGAGUGACGGUAAUGGGUAAAGAAGCACCGGCUAACUACGUG